GCUGUUAGACCUGUAGACCUGUGGCCCCUGCCUUUAACCAUAUCAGGGGUCCUGGGGAGCCGCAGGCCAUGCAGGGGCAAUCCAGAGGUCUGUGUGUUCACUGGAAGGGCAGGCCAACAAGAAAUCCUUCCUGCUUUUGAACUGCCUCUCUCCCAUACACAGGGCUCUUCCCAGCUGCCAGGAAGAAGUUGCAGUGACUGGGGUGAGAGUAGGGGCAGGGCGUGUUCAUGGGACCAGGGUCGAGAGUCCCGAAGGACGUGGCUUGCACCAUGUCCACCAAGAGAAGAAACCCAGGUCUGGUCAUCGGGCGGCU
Artibeus jamaicensis (Jamaican fruit-eating bat) is the source of this 313-nucleotide small nucleolar RNA. NCBI's taxonomy places the organism in Eukaryota, Metazoa, Chordata, Mammalia, Chiroptera, Phyllostomidae. The record is from RefSeq and is a predicted model, not a curated record.